RNAcentral lists this non-coding RNA (114 nucleotides) under Streptomyces sp. RNAcentral describes it as "TPP sequence". It matches the Rfam family "TPP riboswitch aptamer (THI element)". Rfam says of the family: Vitamin B(1) in its active form thiamin pyrophosphate (TPP) is an essential coenzyme that is synthesised by coupling of pyrimidine and thiazole moieties in bacteria. The previously detected thiamin-regulatory element, thi box was extended, resulting in a new, highly conserved RNA secondary structure, the THI element, which is widely distributed in eubacteria and also occurs in some archaea. The record is from RNAcentral. Lineage: Bacteria; Bacillati; Actinomycetota; Actinomycetes; Kitasatosporales; Streptomycetaceae.
CAAGGCAUCCGCGGGAGCCCGGCGCACCGGGCUGAGAGGGAGGCGUUCUCCGGCCUCCGACCGUACGCACCUGAUCCGGGUCAUGCCGGCGAAGGGAGGAGGCGCGUGGACACG